GAUAAGGUAAUACCGGUACGAUAAGGUAAUACCGGUAUGAUAAGUGGUACUGUCUUGUGAAUGUCGGUAGAUGAACUCAACGGUGUGUCUGUGUGUAGAUGUAUUCCAUCCGCAGCCUGCCCAGCAUGGUGUACCGGGAGCAGCCAGAGGAAGACGGAGUAGAGGACAUGACGCAGCUGGAGGAGCUGUCUGAGGGAUCUGUGCUGCUCAACCUGAAGAAGAGGUUUGAGAGAGAGAUCAUCUAUACAUAUAUAGGUAGUAUCCUGG
Oncorhynchus gorbuscha (pink salmon) is the source of this 267-nucleotide long non-coding RNA. RefSeq lists it as uncharacterized. The record is from RefSeq and is a predicted model, not a curated record. NCBI's taxonomy places the organism in Eukaryota, Metazoa, Chordata, Actinopteri, Salmoniformes, Salmonidae. The transcript is spliced from 3 exons.